Molecule: long non-coding RNA, 543 nt
Filed under: Eucalyptus grandis
Lineage: Eukaryota; Viridiplantae; Streptophyta; Magnoliopsida; Myrtales; Myrtaceae
Description: long non-coding RNA (EGRA_LNC007369)
Source: RNAcentral
GGGCUGGAGAAAAUCAGCGAAUGGGACUUCAACGUGGCAGCUUUGGCGAGGCUGGCAGCUGGGUUUCGUGUCUUCGUGGGCGGCUGAGUCGAAGACACGAACGGUGGAGUCAACGAACGAAAAAGGGAUUCGCUGGUGGAGGCUUGCGGAUGGCAAGAAACUGAAGAGAAUCAGCUGCGUGAAGCCAUGUGGAGCUUCGGUCUUCAGAGAUGGGCUAGUUUGCUGACCUGCGGAUGAAGACACGAAGAUGAGUGGUCUUCAACGCUGGUUUGUUGACCAAACAACCAGCAGACGCGGCCAAGUGGCAGCGUGGAGAGGAGAGAACUUCGGUGGGACGUUGGCAGCUUCUGAUUUCUGGUUUCUUCGCUGCUGUGCGUGAGAACACGAGUGAAUGGAGAGAGAGAGGUUUUGGGGUGGCUUCACGCUUCUCCGAAUGAAGAAGGGGAUUUUCACGCGUGAGGCAGGAAUGGCUGAACUUGCGGGAGAAGCUAACUAAGAUGAAGGGAAAAGUCAGCAAUCCUUAGCCAACAAAUUUAAUGCUUG